RNAcentral lists this ribosomal RNA (444 nucleotides) under bacterium enrichment culture DGGE band 11 EBPR-2013. Its description in RNAcentral is "bacterial SSU rRNA". It matches the Rfam family "Bacterial small subunit ribosomal RNA", at positions 953 to 1397 of the family's 1533-position model. The record is from RNAcentral.
GUGAUUAACGCGAAGAACCUUACCUACCCUUGACAUGUCUGGAAUCCUUGAGAGAUCAGGGAGUGCCUUCGGGAGCCAGAACACAGGUGCUGCAUGGCUGUCGUCAGCUCGUGUCGUGAGAUGUUGGGUUAAGUCCCGCAACGAGCGCAACCCUUGUCGCUAAUUGCCAUCAUUUAGUUGGGCACUUUAGCGAGACUGCCGGUGACAAACCGGAGGAAGGUGGGGAUGACGUCAAGUCCUCAUGGCCCUUAUGGGUAGGGCUUCACACGUCAUACAAUGGUCGGUACAGAGGGUUGCCAAGCCGCGAGGUGGAGCUAAUCUCAAAAAGCCGAUCGUAGUCCGGAUCGUAGUCUGCAACUCGACUACGUGAAGUCGGAAUCGCUAGUAAUCGUGGAUCAGCAUGCCACGGUGAAUACGUUCCCGGGUCUUGUACACACCGCCCGU